This is a long non-coding RNA of Mirounga angustirostris (Northern elephant seal), 512 nucleotides long. RefSeq lists it as uncharacterized. NCBI's taxonomy places the organism in Eukaryota, Metazoa, Chordata, Mammalia, Carnivora, Phocidae. The transcript has 3 exons. The record is from RefSeq and is a predicted model, not a curated record.
CUGAGCUCAGGGAGCGGGUCUGCUCAACAGCACAGCUCUUCCAGCAAAGCCAGCGCACUCUAUGGACUUAUUCACACUUCUGUCCUCCACGCCUCUAACGUUUGGCCUCGUUUCUAUCUUGUUUUGAUGUAUGAAAGAGUGGUUCUCAAAGUGUGGUCCCAAACCAGCAACAUCAGCAUCACCUGGGAACUGGGAGAAAUGCACGUUCUGAGCCCCACCUCCUGAAUCCGAAACUCUGGGGUUGGAGCCCAGCAAUUUGUGAUUUAACAAGCUCUCUGGAUGGGGGGCUGCGGCGCAGCUGGGGUACCACAGCUCUACCAUCAGUGCCUCAAGUCUCGGAAACACGAUCACAGCUCAUAAAAUAUCCACGCACUUGAGCAAGGAUCCAGAUCUUAUCAUCCUUCCAGCACAAGACAGGCACAGAGAAGCUGAAGUAUCUGCUCAACUGGGUAGCCUGGUUCCUACAAGACAGUCUGGUCUUGCAGACUGCCAAGAUGUGUUAUAGACGUAUC